GCCAGGUGUGCUGGCCAACGCCUGUAAUCCCAGCAGCUUGGGAGGCUGAGACAGGAGGAUCACAAGUUCAAAGCCAGCCUCAAGAACUCAGUGAGGCUCUAAACAACUCAGUGAGACCCUGUAUCUA
Molecule: small RNA, 127 nt
Filed under: Marmota monax (woodchuck)
Lineage: Eukaryota; Metazoa; Chordata; Mammalia; Rodentia; Sciuridae
Source: RNAcentral